AACGUAGGACACAAGCGUUAUCCGGAGUUACUGGGCGUAAAGGGCGUGCAGGCGGUUUCUUAAGUCAGGCGUGAAACCAUUCGGCUAAACCGGGUGUAGUCGUCUGAGACUGGGAGACUAGAGUGUGGUAGAGGAGUGUAGAAUUCCGGGUGUAGUGGUGAAAUGCGUAGAUAUCCGGAGGAAUACCAGUGGCGAAGGCGGCACGCUGGGCCAUAACUGACGCUAAGACGCGAAAGCAUGGGUAGCGAACGGG
Molecule: ribosomal RNA, 253 nt
Filed under: uncultured bacterium
Lineage: Bacteria
Description: partial 16S ribosomal RNA
Rfam family: Bacterial small subunit ribosomal RNA
Source: RNAcentral